GAGCAGCCAGUUGCAGAGAAGAGAGGCUACAUUGUGAAGCAGCACAACUCCACAGUUGAGAUCAGCAUCCCCUAUAAGGCUGAAGGAGGAUACAGGAAGAGCAUCGUGUCUGGGAACCUCUACGAAUUCUCAAUCUUUCAUCUCUACUUGGAGCAAAUCUCAGUGGAUGAGGGUCAUGGUGACACCAGACUUCGCAUUCACAGGACACUGGCCACUCCCCUGCUGCCAUGCCGUAUUUUCACUGAAAACAGAACCGUUCUGAGGAGCGCACAUUCACUGUCUACCUCGGGAUGUCCCAGAAGACGUUGAGUUGGUUGCAGUUAAUUUGAAUGGACGGAUUUUACAGUUCCCUUUACAAUGCAAGC
Molecule: long non-coding RNA, 365 nt
Organism: Etheostoma spectabile (orangethroat darter)
Lineage: Eukaryota; Metazoa; Chordata; Actinopteri; Perciformes; Percidae
Exons: 3
Source: RefSeq, a predicted model, not a curated record